RNAcentral lists this small RNA (76 nucleotides) under Xanthomonas campestris. RNAcentral describes it as "sX9 sRNA". It matches the Rfam family "Xanthomonas sRNA sX9". Lineage: Bacteria; Pseudomonadati; Pseudomonadota; Gammaproteobacteria; Lysobacterales; Lysobacteraceae. The record is from RNAcentral.
ACCGCCAGGCGGGCGCGGCCGGUGCUCGGAAUCCUCNCGCACCCACCUGACGGCUGCUCGCUACGUUUUGUUAGCC